This is a long non-coding RNA of Bos taurus (domestic cattle), 2831 nucleotides long. The record is from Ensembl. NCBI's taxonomy places the organism in Eukaryota, Metazoa, Chordata, Mammalia, Artiodactyla, Bovidae.
GGCUCCUCUUGUGGAGCACAGGCUCCAGAGUGCGCCGGCUCAGUGGUUGCGGUGUGUGGGCUCUCUAGUUGCAGCAUGCAGGCUCCUCUUGUGGAGCACAGGCCCCAGAGUGCGCCGGCUCAGUGGUUGCGGUGUGUGGGCUCUCUAGUCGCGGCGUGCAGUCUUAGUUGCCCUGCAGUAUGUGGGAUCUUAGUUCCCUGACCAGGGAUCAAGACUCUGUCCUCUGCAUUGAAAGGUAGAUUCUUAACCCCUGGACCACCGGGCAAGUCCCUGCAUUUCUAUAAGUGAAUGAAUUUCUAUUACAAAUCUCAGGUAUGAGAGGAACCCUGAUUCUGUGACAGACAGAAUUAAAAUAUGGCUUGUUGGUAUAGAACCUGAUAAGGAGGUUUAUGUGCUACAGAAUCAUAUAUCAAAUUAAAAACUAGUUUAUGAGAGCUGUUGAAAUAAUAUUCUGAAUAGUUCUCCCAAAUUUAUCCAACCUAGUAGUUUUCUGUAAUGAAAUAGGAAUUGUUUUAUAGACCAGCCCUUAUGUGUAUCUACUUUAUUCCUGAUUGGUUAAAGAUUUUGAUGAAUGAGACAAGCUAAUACUGUUCAUUGCCAUUUUUGUGUUUAUAGACAUGGAUGGUUUUCCUUUACCUUAAGUUUUUAGAUCAGACAGAACCAAGUUUAAAUCCUGGCUCAGGUAUCUUAGGCAAGAUACUAGGAAUUCCUAGUUCAUACAGUUGUUGGAAGGAUUAAGUAACGUAUUGUAUAUAAGUGGUUAUCAGAAAGCCUGACAUAUAAGGAUUCAUUAUAAAUAUUCAUAGGCAUUAUUUAUAAGCAUUCAUUUAAAUAUUAGUAUUUGCAAAAGGAUGUUCUCUUCUGUUUACUUGUCAGCGUUCUAUUUGAUUAUCUCUGUUUAUCUCCUGUAGUACACUGGACCAGUAUACUCAGGAAAUAGUUUAUAAUCUUUUUGUAGAUAUUAACAGCUCAAAUUAUGCUUUUUUUCCCCCUAGUGUUUUACUUUACAUGUUCUAGCACUUUGGAUUAUUUUGCCUUUUCAUACAAUAGAGAAAACCACCAGUAAAACCUCUGUCCUCCCAUCAUUCUGACAUUCAUGGAAACUUACUAGUGUUAGUGAACUUGGCAGAUUUCCUGAUGUUGCUUUUAUAGUUAUUUAGAAGAUACAAAAUAAGACCAGUCCCAGUGUCUUUCCUUUCAUCCAUUCAGUAGUUAGUAAAUGCCUACCACCUCCAGAAACUAUGCUUCAUACUGGGGAUAUAUGACAUCGCUGUUGCUCUCACAGUUUUCACAGGCUAGUGAAGGAGACGGGCAAAUCAAGAAAUGAUUGCAGCAGCAAUAUAUAAACCCCUAGGAAUCAGUACUCAUUUCUGUUUGGAUGAACUGGGAGAAGCUUAACAGAGUAUGUUCCUUGAGCUUGGAGAGAUAAAGAUGAAUUUCAUAUACAGACAAAAGAUAGCAUGUGCCUAAAGGUUCAGAUACAUGAAACAAGGUCAUGUAUUCAGGGACUGUAAAAUAGUAUGAACAGAAUCUGGGAAAUAAGGCUGGAGCUCAAAUUAGCAAUACUUAGAUGGCCUACUAAAAGACUAGAUUUAGCUCUGUGGGGUCACACAGAGUCGGACACAACUGAAGUGACUUAGCAGCAGGAGAAGCAAAGGUCAGUUAUUGAAGAAUUAGGGAAAGAUGAUAAGUAUUUGAGAAAAUUCCACUAGCAGUGUGAUGGUGAGAAUAGGGAGUGAGAUUGGAGGCACCAAGGCUAAUCAGAAGACUCAAGCUGAGUAAUACUCCUGAGUUCCUACUUGUGCCAGGCAAUGUAGUAAGCAUUUUGUACUGGUUAGCUCACUUAAACCUUAAAAAAAAUAGGAGGCAGGUAUUGUUCCUGUUUAACAGCUUGAGAAUCAUAAUUUUCCUCUGGUCACAUAGCUUGUGAGUGAGAAAAAUAGGCAUUCAGGCCCAGGUAUGUCUAACAAAGUGCUUGCUUCAGAUCAGUAUAACAACUGGAAAGAAGUGAGGACAGUGAGGACAGCAGCAGUUAAGUAUUAACAUGAAGAAGAGAGCCAAGGAUACAAGAAAUGUUAGGCAGAUAGCACCUCCAUCAACAAGACAUGAAGGUUAGCAGUGAUGCGCAGGGUUUUGGCAAAAAAAAACUACCUUUAACAUUAUCAUUAAACAGGGUCAAGAAUUGAGAGGGAGAAAUUGAGGGAAAAAGAAAGAGGUCUUUUCAGUCAUGAAUUUUAGGCAUAUAACAUAACGUGUAGUGGGCAGCUAGGUAUGAGUCUAAAACUUACAAGAAAAGUGACUUGAAGAGUGAGCCAUGAGUGGUAUGACUUGACAAGACUGUUCAAAGAGAAUAAGAAAAGGGGGUAGAGGAAGAGAAGCUAGUGAAAGAACCUAGUAGUCAAGAAGCUAGACUUUGAAAAUAAUAGUUUUGAGGAAUCAAGGGUUUUCAAGGAUUGGGGUCAAUAAGUUCAAAAUCAAGACGCGAUAAUUCACAUCAAUCUAGUUGUUAACAUUUUGGAAUAAGUCUGGAUAUCAAAUGUUGGCUAAGAUGUUGAAAAACAACAGAGGAACUCUCAGGUAUCCUGUCUUUGAGUGUAUAGAUUGGUAUAAUCAUUAUGAGGGCAACAUUCAUUUACUAAAAUGAAACGUGCAUAAACCAGCUAUUCUGAUAGGAUACCUGUAUCUAUAGAUCUAACUCUUGAUAUAGAUCUCUGUGUCUGUAGAUAUAUAGAGAUAUGCCCUGUAAACAUUCCCACACAUUUGCCAGAUACGUGCAAGGAUGUUCAUUGCAGUAUUGUUUAUAAUAAUGAAACUUGGAAAUAAAAUGUAAC